GGAUGGAAGCCAAGAGAAAUAUGAAAAAGCCUCCAUUCUCCACUGGACUAACCCCUAGAUGCUGAAACACUCACCAGGUGGAAGAAGUUAACUAUAUAUUCACCAGACUGCGGCCGUGACACAAGCUGCCACAAUGAUGAGAAUUAGCCCCAAAGAAAUGGGAACAAACCAACCUUGGAACUGAAGACCAACUGUACUUUAAAGAAUUAAGAUGACCCUGGGCACCUCUGAUGACCAAUUUCAAGGUCAUGAAAAUAAAUGGAAAAAGAGGACAAUAAAAAACUACUCUCCUAGCGAAUAAAAGGUUAACUUUGAAAUUGCUGACUUCUGUACUGCUUCGCUAAUAUAAG
This 350-nucleotide long non-coding RNA is filed under the name Capra hircus (goat). Its description in RNAcentral is "lncRNA (ENSCHIG00000007218.1)". The record is from RNAcentral. Lineage: Eukaryota; Metazoa; Chordata; Mammalia; Artiodactyla; Bovidae.